This 203-nucleotide unclassified non-coding RNA is filed under the name uncultured fungus. Its description in RNAcentral is "sequence contains ITS1, 5.8S rRNA gene". Lineage: Eukaryota; Fungi. The record is from RNAcentral.
CCGAGUCACGUGCUCAAACAACCCUUCUGUGGACCUGAAUUAAACCGUUGCCUCGGCGGGCGGUCCCCUGCCAAAAACCCAUAUGGUGUGUGGGCAGGGGACCAGACAGUCCGGCACGCUUAAGGCGUCCGGCGCCAGCCGCUGGCCCUAAAAUUAAACUCUAGUAACCUUACCUUCUGAGUUUUAAUACAAAAAAUAAGUCA